ACCCUCCAUCAAUCAUCUCGGACAUAUUAGGCAAUGGAACUGCUUUUGCAAUGCUCUUUCCAUUAGUUUUGCUCAAUCUUGUAUCACCCUUGUCAUCAUUCAAGACUUUGCUAAGCUCAGAAUAUUGCNNNNNNNUCCCAAGAGAGAUUAUAUCUUUGCUCAGGUGUAAGAGGUUUAGGCUCAUUUGCUAAUGCUUCUUUCACUUUUGCAACAAAGUCCUCAGAUGUCUUGUAAGUCAAACAGUUUGGAAAGGACAUGAAGAACUCAUUUGAUGGGUGAUCAGCACAUACAACAAAUUUUCCCAUUGCAAGCGCCUCGGCAGUAGCUGUGCAGAGCACAUCACUCACACUAGG
RNAcentral lists this unclassified non-coding RNA (353 nucleotides) under Hevea brasiliensis (rubber tree). Lineage: Eukaryota; Viridiplantae; Streptophyta; Magnoliopsida; Malpighiales; Euphorbiaceae. The record is from RNAcentral.